CCUACGGGCGGCAGCAGUGGGGAAUAUUGCACAAUGGGCGCAAGCCUGAUGCAGCCAUGCCGCGUGUGUGAAGAAGGCCUUCGGGUUGUAAAGCACUUUCAGCGGGGAGGAAGGCGUUAAGGUUAAUAACCUUGUCGAUUGACGUUACCCGCAGAAGAAGCACCGGCUAACUCCGUGCCAGCAGCCGCGGUAAUACGGAGGGUGCAAGCGUUAAUCGGAAUUACUGGGCGUAGAGCGCACGCAGGCGGUCUGUCAAGUCGGAUGUGAAAUCCCCGGGCUCAACCUGGGAACUGCAUUCGAAACUGGCAGGCUAGAGUCUUGUAGAGGGGGGUAGAAUUCCAGGUGUAGCGGUGAAAUGCGUAGAGAUCUGGAGGAAUACCGGUGGCGAAGGCGGCCCCCUGGACAAAGACUGACGCUCAGGUGCGAAAGCGUGGGGAGCAAACAGGAUUAGAUACCCGAGUAGUC
This 465-nucleotide ribosomal RNA is filed under the name uncultured Klebsiella sp. RNAcentral's name for it is "bacterial SSU rRNA". It matches the Rfam family "Bacterial small subunit ribosomal RNA", at positions 338 to 795 of the family's 1533-position model. Lineage: Bacteria; Pseudomonadati; Pseudomonadota; Gammaproteobacteria; Enterobacterales; Enterobacteriaceae. The record is from RNAcentral.